This 537-nucleotide ribosomal RNA is filed under the name uncultured bacterium. RNAcentral's name for it is "bacterial SSU rRNA". It matches the Rfam family "Bacterial small subunit ribosomal RNA", at positions 8 to 524 of the family's 1533-position model. The record is from RNAcentral.
AGAGUUUGAUCCUGGCUCAGAUUGAACGCUGGCGGCAGGCCUAACACAUGCAAGUCGAGCGGAAACGACACUAACAAUCCUUCGGGUGCGUUAAUGGGCGUCGAGCGGCGGACGGGUGAGUAAUGCCUAGGAAAUUGCCUUGAUGUGGGGGAUAACCAUUGGAAACGAUGGCUAAUACCGCAUAAUGCCUACGGGCCAAAGAGGGGGACCUUCGGGCCUCUCGCGUCAAGAUAUGCCUAGGUGGGAUUAGCUAGUUGGUGAGGUAAUGGCUCACCAAGGCGACGAUCCCUAGCUGGUCUGAGAGGAUGAUCAGCCACACUGGAACUGAGACACGGUCCAGACUCCUACGGGAGGCAGCAGUGGGGAAUAUUGCACAAUGGGCGAAAGCCUGAUGCAGCCAUGCCGCGUGUAUGAAGAAGGCCUUCGGGUUGUAAAGUACUUUCAGUUGUGAGGAAGGGGGUGUAGUUAAUAGCUGCAUCUCUUGACGUUAGCAACAGAAGAAGCACCGGCUAACUCCGUGCCAGCAGCCGCGGUAAU